AGUGAACGCUGGCGGUAGGCCUAACACAUGCAAGUCGAACGGCAGCACAGUAAGAGCUUGCUCUUACGGGUGGCGAGUGGCGGACGGGUGAGGAAUACAUCGGAAUCUACUUUUUCGUGGGGGAUAACGUAGGGAAACUUACGCUAAUACCGCAUACGACCUACGGGUGAAAGCAGGGGAUCUUCGGACCUUGCGCGAUUGAAUGAGCCGAUGUCGGAUUAGCUAGUUGGCGGGGUAAAGGCCCACCAAGGCGACGAUCCGUAGCUGGUCUGAGAGGAUGAUCAGCCAAACUGGAACUGAGACACGGUCCAGACUCCUACGGGAGGCAGCAGUGGGGAAUAUUGGAAAAUGGGCGCAAGCCUGAUCCAGCCAUACCGCGUGGGUGAAGAAGGCCUUCGGGUUGUAAAGCCCUUUUGUUGGGAAAGAAAAGCAGCAGGUUAAUACCCCGCUGUUCUGACGGUACCCAAAGAAUAAACACCGGCGAACUUCGU
RNAcentral lists this ribosomal RNA (491 nucleotides) under uncultured bacterium. RNAcentral's name for it is "partial 16S ribosomal RNA". It matches the Rfam family "Bacterial small subunit ribosomal RNA", at positions 29 to 506 of the family's 1533-position model. The record is from RNAcentral.